This 301-nucleotide ribosomal RNA is filed under the name uncultured bacterium. RNAcentral's name for it is "partial 16S ribosomal RNA". It matches the Rfam family "Bacterial small subunit ribosomal RNA", at positions 509 to 809 of the family's 1533-position model. The record is from RNAcentral.
CAGUCGCCGCGGGAAUACGUAGGGUGCGAGCGUUAAUCGGAAUUACUGGGCGUAAAGCGUGCGCAGGCGGUUCGUUAAGACAGAUGUGAAAUCCCCGGGCUUAACCUGGGAACUGCAUUUGUGACUGGCGAGCUAGAGUAUGGCAGAGGGGGGUAGAAUUCCACGUGUAGCAGUGAAAUGCGUAGAGAUGUGGAGGAAUACCGAUGGCGAAGGCAGCCCCCUGGGCCAAUACUGACGCUCAUGCACGAAAGCGUGGGGAGCAAACAGGAUUAGAUACCCCGGUAGUCCCUGUCUCUUAUAU